This 1252-nucleotide long non-coding RNA is filed under the name Fukomys damarensis (Damara mole-rat). Its description in RNAcentral is "lncRNA (ENSFDAG00000026998.1)". The record is from RNAcentral. Lineage: Eukaryota; Metazoa; Chordata; Mammalia; Rodentia; Bathyergidae.
GGGGGUUAUAAUAUUUCCCUUAUUUGGAUUACUUGGUGCCUGAUAUCAAUUUGAGGCAAAUGGGCCGCUUCAUCUCCUCAGAGCUAGCUUUGUGUAAUCCUUUUUCCACUUGCUCUUUUACCAAAAUAAAUGGCUUUCUUUGCUUUGGUCAGCAGUGAGCAGAUGAACUUGAAUUUAUGAACCUAGGUAAUCAGUAACAUCAGUAAGAGGCAUGAAGAGGUUUAUCAGGAAAAAAAUUUUUUUUUUUGGUAUCAGGGAUUGAACUUGGCUCUUUGUGCAUUGGAGGCAGGCACCAGAUCCACUGAGCUAAAUCCCCGGCUAUCAGGAAUAAUCUUAAAGAGAUCAGAGAGAACAGUGUUGGCCCUUGGAAAGAGAGCGUCAGACAGAACAAUUGCACCGCGACUGCAGGUGGAUCGGGGCCCAUACACGGCACCAGCUCAAUUACCAGGUGAGGGCGCAGUCGUGAAGACGAUGCAGUGUGGCGAUCACAGCGUGGUCGAGGUGCUAAACCAACCAGUCCUGAGCCCUAUUCCCAGCACGGCACCUGCCUUCCCCGUCCACCCAACGGAGGCUCAGGUUCAAAGGAGCUGGGCGUGGCAGCUGCCUUCCGCCCUCCCUGCCCGCAGCUCGCCUCCACUGCACCGAGUUGGAGACUCUGAGCUCUAGGAAUGGGCUCUGGUCUGAGAACUCAGUGGCUUCCCACCCUGUCUGAGGCCCUGGAAUCGCCCAGGGGAACACUUCAGGGCCACAGCACCGACCCCGGCUGUGAAGGGAAGCCAGGCUGGAGAAGCUAUUUCAAGCCGUUAUCUCUUCCUGGCCAUGGUAACGAGUUAGAGUAAGCAGGCCGGAGGGGUUAAAGCCAGGUCAUUCCCAGCCACAGCUGAUGGAAACAGGCACAAGGCUUACUCUAGACCAACGUGAGUGGAAGUGUUUCGGGACUUUAGAGAAAGACUAUUCUUCCUCUGUCCCCCUCUCCAAGACUCCUACUGGCUGACUUUAUGGGAUGACUGCUCAGAUGUGAGGCCUGGAGCUGCUGCAGCCAUUUCGCCACCACAAAGGAAGCAGCUUCAGGAAGAUACAAAGACUGCAGCGGACAGAACCAAAAGAGGAAAGAAAAACAAAACAGAACAAAAUAGGGCCCCUGAUAGUACCACUGGCCUCUAAACAAAACAAACCCUCAAACUCAUCUUACCUCUGGACUUUCCAGUAGCUGAAGCCAAUUUGAUUUGAUCUUCCAACGAUCCGCAACCUA